UACAGAGGUGCGAGCGUUAAUCGGGUUACUGGGCGUAAAGCGCGCGUAGGUGGUUAAUUAAGUCAAUGUGAAAUCCCCGAGCUUAACUUGGGAAUUGCAUUCGAUACUGGUUAGCUAGAGUAUGGGAGAGGAUGGUAGAAUUCCAGGUGUAGCGGUGAAAUGCGUAGAGAUCUGGAGGAAUACCGAUGGCGAAGGCAGCCAUCUGGCCUAAUACUGACACUGAGGUGCGAAAGCAUGGGGAGCAAACAGG
RNAcentral lists this ribosomal RNA (250 nucleotides) under uncultured bacterium. RNAcentral's name for it is "partial 16S ribosomal RNA". It matches the Rfam family "Bacterial small subunit ribosomal RNA", at positions 524 to 776 of the family's 1533-position model. The record is from RNAcentral.